This 253-nucleotide ribosomal RNA is filed under the name uncultured bacterium. Its description in RNAcentral is "partial 16S ribosomal RNA". It matches the Rfam family "Bacterial small subunit ribosomal RNA", at positions 524 to 776 of the family's 1533-position model. The record is from RNAcentral.
UACAGAGGGCUCAAGCGUUGUUCGGAUUCAUUGGGCGUAAAGGGUGCGUAGGUGGCGGGGUAAGUCAGGUGUGAAAUCUCGGGGCUCAACCUCGAAACUGCACUUGAUACUGCCCUGCUCGAGUACUGGAGAGGAGAUUGGAAUUUACGGUGUAGCAGUGAAAUGCGUAGAUAUCGUAAGGAAGACCAGUGGCGAAGGCGAAUCUCUGGACAGUUACUGACACUGAGGCACGAAGGCCAGGGGAGCAAACGGG